RNAcentral lists this long non-coding RNA (337 nucleotides) under Homo sapiens (human). RNAcentral describes it as "HSALNT0308417". Lineage: Eukaryota; Metazoa; Chordata; Mammalia; Primates; Hominidae. The record is from RNAcentral.
CGCAGUUUUGUAGUUAAGGGAACACAAUACUGUGUACUUACGUCAUAUAAAAAUGGCGUCUCGGGCCUGAGGUGAGCUUAGGUGACCAUGAUUUUCAUUGGGAGGAUUGCCUGAGGACACUAAGGCAAGCCAAUGGAGGCAGGAGUGCCCAGGGGAGUGCAGACACCUGUCUUCAAAAUCAACACUAUCAAGUUUCUUCUCAGAUUAUGGAUAUACUGCAAGGCACAGAUGACUGAUAAACUGUCUCGCUUCUUAGGAGGGAAAACACAUUGAAGUCUUAAUCCACAUCAGUCUCUGAAGGUGGUCCUGGGCCCUUAUAUUAUUUGGUUUGGCCCAC